UGUUAAAAAUUUCAUCCACUUCUAUUAAAAAUCGGUUGUGGUUGACGGAAUAGCCGUGUGUACUUCAUGUUAACAUAUAGGAACUAGUUUUUAACAAUAAAAAUGAAUAAAAUUUUUAACA
This 121-nucleotide microRNA precursor is filed under the name Gossypium arboreum. RNAcentral's name for it is "MIR7502 microRNA precursor family". It matches the Rfam family "MIR7502 microRNA precursor family". Lineage: Eukaryota; Viridiplantae; Streptophyta; Magnoliopsida; Malvales; Malvaceae. The record is from Rfam by way of RNAcentral.